This 240-nucleotide unclassified non-coding RNA is filed under the name soil metagenome. Its description in RNAcentral is "partial contains 5.8S ribosomal RNA, internal transcribed spacer 2, and large subunit ribosomal RNA". The record is from RNAcentral.
AACCAUAGAAACCUGCGGAGUACCUGCGGAGGGAUCAUUAUUGGAUUUUCCCAAAGGAAAAUGUUGUGCUUUCUUUCUCUUGAAAGAGAGAGAGGACAGUGCAAUGUUUUUCUCAAACAAACGAUCACAACUAGCAAGAGAAAAGGAAAUUGAUUUGGUUGGAAACAAGAAACAAGUGUUUGCCUGAUAAUCAAGAUGAUUUGGAUUGAAGAAAGAAAAACAACUUUCAACAACGGAUCU